GUUUGUAGCUCAGUCGGUUAGAGCACCGCUCUGAUAAGGCGGGGGUCGGUAGUUCGAGUCUACCCAGACCCACUUUG
This 77-nucleotide transfer RNA is filed under the name uncultured Pelagibacterales bacterium. RNAcentral describes it as "tRNA-Ile". It matches the Rfam family "tRNA". From Rfam's summary of the family: Transfer RNA (tRNA) molecules are approximately 80 nucleotides in length. Their secondary structure includes four short double-helical elements and three loops (D, anti-codon, and T loops). Lineage: Bacteria; Pseudomonadati; Pseudomonadota; Alphaproteobacteria; Candidatus Pelagibacterales. The record is from RNAcentral.